Long non-coding RNA from Corvus hawaiiensis (hawaiian crow), 5406 nucleotides. RefSeq lists it as uncharacterized. The record is from RefSeq and is a predicted model, not a curated record. The transcript is spliced from 9 exons. Lineage: Eukaryota; Metazoa; Chordata; Aves; Passeriformes; Corvidae.
UAAGACGUGGUUGGAUAAACGCAUGUUGUUCAGCAGAGGCCGUUAACCUUUAAAGCGCUGAUACGUUUUGGUUUAUUUCAAUUUUUUUAACUCAAAUUGCUGUCUUUUUAAGAAGUCUCUGAAAUCGUCUCCCUUGACAGGGCAAGCGAAACAUGCCUUAAAUCUGCAUCUCGUGGAAGAUCUGCUUGGCUGGCAGCUGCUAUGUGUUGCUGUUGGCUUUUAAGGAACAUCUCUGUGUGGUGGUUUUUUGUUGUUUAGCUUUGUUUUAUUAUUUUUUCCUUUUUCUAUUUGUUUUAUUUGAUUGGGUUUUUUUGUCUUUUGCAUUCCGUUUUUCAAAGAGCUUUGGCAAACACCAGGGCCAUCAAGGCCAGGGCAGGCCCUCUACUUCUCUUCUGCUCCUCUGCCGUCUACCAAGGUGCAAAAUUUGCAAGAUUAUCUACUGCCUCCAAUCCCAGCCUUCUCCCAUCCAUGGGAUGCUCCCCAGUCCUGUCUGGAAAGCUACAGGCAGGAAUGAAGCUGGGAAGAUGGGACUGGAGAAAUUAUCCAAGAGACCCAAGGACAGAGCCGGGGGGGAUGCAGCUGAGCAAAGAUCAGCACAAGGAGUAUGGCAAGCCACAAGUUCACAGAUGUUGUGCCUAUCAGGAUCUUUGUGGUGUCUGCUGAAGUCCAUGAGCUUUAACCCCAACCAUCUGAAGACAGAAUUAGACCUGGAGAAAAGUUCCUGCAACUCAAAGAAACCAGUCCCUUUUAAGAGCUGCCUGGGUUCAGGAAGAACUUUGCUGUUCCUUGAGGCAGGAGGUGAGUGUGGGACAGAGAGAUGGAUGCUGCCUUUCUCUUCAUGGAAAGAUGUGGCGUGCCCAAGGCCAUGCAGAUAGGAAUGCUGAUGGGAAUAAGAGGGUGGCAAGUUGCUGGGAAGAAGUGCUCACCCGAAUGAGGAUGAACCAUCUGCAUCAUCAUUUAGGCUUUCCUUCCUCUCCAGAAACCACAGACAUCUUCUUCUAAUGGUAGAAUUACAGCUCUUGAUUCCUCUAAAACUGACACUGAGCCUUCCCUUUUUUAUUGCUGGUGGGAGUUCAGGUCCCCCUGUGUCUUUGUAGAGGGCUUCCUUGUGUUUCACCUGUCCUCAACACCGUUCUGUCAGUGGCUCUCACUGACAGCACUUUCCUCAUUGUGUGAAUACAGAUCUCUCCUCAUUCUUAGUGCAGCACCCAGCUUCUACCAGAGAGGAGUCACUUGGUGGAUUUAGGAAGAGGUGUUCUGGCUGGAUGAUAGCUACUAGACCUCCUACAGAAAGAAGAAGGUAUUUCCUCUGCCAGUCGAGGACUUCUGUGGUUGUCUCUGUGCAAGUGGAAGAAGAAAGCUUUACCUGACACCACAUGAAUUAAGUUGAACGUAUUGGCCAAAGGCUCAGUCCAUUCCACAACAAAGCUGAAGAAAAGCCGGUCUAUAUGGAAUGGAGCCCAGCAAAUGGCAAAAACUAUCACAAGGACAACUGGCAUGGAGAAAGGGGAGAAAGAAACAGGUCUUAUUUUGCAAAAUAUUCAUUGACACUAUGUAAAGACCCCUCAACAGCCUCCAGACACUGGGGAUAGUUUAACCCAUUCACUGCCUCGAGGAUCUGCUCUGUGAUACAGAUUUCUGUCAGUUAAUCCUUUUUUUUUUUUUCCCUGGUCUCUACUGCAAAGGUGUAAAUCUCUGGGAGGCUGGAAUCAAUCUAGAGACUUGGGUGUUUCAUUAACAUUCAGAUGUGAGCAGAAGUGAUGGUAAGUUUUUAUAAGAUUGGGGUAAAUUAUUCCCCAACAUAGCUAUAUUAAUUUCAGAAUGGGAUUGCAACCAGAGAAGGAGCUGGAUCUACUGUUUUCAGAGGUUUGAAACACUUUGGCUGUUUUGGGGAGAAAACAGAUGGGCAAGAAAGAGGCGCAAAAAUCACUCAAAGCCACAUAUAGACACAAACACACAAGAACGAGCCAAGGAAACACUGAGCACAGUUGGAGAAGGACUUACUCUUAGCCCCAUCAGAUAGUACAGCACACUUAUCACCCCCAUGGGCAGCACAUAGAAGAGGAAAGAGGUGAUCUGGACAAUACAGUUGUAGAUCCAGAGGGGCAUGACCACAGUGCAGGUGGCAGAGCCGGGGACCAGGGUGCCAUUGGGGAAGUGCUGCAGCACGAUGCCGUGGGUGCCCGUGUUGGGGAGGGCGAAGAGCACGGAGAGCACCCAGAGAGCCACGAUGGUCCUGAGGGCGCGCCGGCGGGUGCUCUCCAGCUUGGCGCGGAAGGGGUGCAGGAUGGCGAUGUACCUCUCCACGCUGAGCGUGGUCACGCUGAGGAUGGAGGCAAAGCACACGGUCUCGAAGAGCGCCGUCUUCAGGUAGCAGCCCACGCGCCCCAACAGGAAGGGGUAAUUGCUCCACAUCUCGUAGACUUCCAGGGGCAUCCCAAAGAGCAGCACGAGCAGGUCCGAGACUGCCAGGCUGAACAGGUAAUAGUUGGUCGGGGUCUUCAUGUUCCGGUGCUUGAGGAUUACGAGGCAAACCAAGAAGUUCCCCACCACCCCGACAAUGAAGAUCACGGAGUACACCAAAGCCAUGGGCAGGAAUAGGUGGCUCCUCCUGGGCCCACACAGGAAGGUUAAAUAAUCCUCAGUGCUGUUUAAGUACCCCCUGAGACGUUCUUCAUGUAGAGCAAGGUGGUUUAACCAAGAGAAAUUACUGACCCAGGCCAUGGCUGGACCUGCUGAAAUGUUUCACUGCUGAGGUUGGUUGUCCUUUCUGUUUCUCUGAGCAAGUUUGCUCACUUUUUGCAGAGAUGGAAGGAGGGGUGUAGUUGCCUUGCCAGCCCUGAUGCACAGAGGCACUGAGGAUGUGAAUGAGUGUGUUUGCCUGGCUCUGGGUAAGGUUUUGCUGCUCAACAGCUGUUCCCCUGCACAGAGCCCCUCAGCCAGAAAGCCCCUCCUUUCCCACAUAUUCAUUGGCUCGCUAAGUGCGUUAGAUUAUAGAGUACAAAAAGAGGUUCCAGCCACUUGCAUCAGCUGCUGUGGCUGAUGCAUUUACAGAGUCAGAAAUGUGGGAUUUAGGGAGCUGGGAAUCUGAAAUACAGGAUACAAAACCAGCUGCAGGUUAUUUGUAUUUGCCAGAGGGGAGGAAAGCAGACCAGAAACACCCCCAAAACUCAGUCUAAACAGCUUUUACAAAAUGAUAGUGAUGCUACAUCCAGUUACGAGCCACAAGCAAAACAAAACAAAACAGAAGAUUCUGACAUAAUUUUGCUUUUCAAAUCUCUGCUGAUUUUUAUUUUCUGUUGUCUAUGGCAAGUACUUGGAGACAGACUUUGAUCGGUAGAAAGCCAAAUGGUUUUUGUAGCCAUUUAUGUGGAAUUAUAAUGCUUCAGCCUUUUUUUAAACACUGCAAUUGUUUUUCUCCUGAAAUCUUCUCCUGACAAAAGAUUUUAAUUGCAAUUCUUAUUGACUUAAAAAUAUUUUCUCACUGUCCAAGUAUGCUGGAAUUUGAUCCUAUAUUCUUAGAGAGCCUUGUUUUGGGAAUAUUUCUGUACAACAUAUUAUUCCAUAUUUAUUGCCCAUGGGGCAUGAACUUUUAUAAACUCUUAUUUCUUCAUGAAUGACAAGCAUUCUGCAAACACACUUUCUGAGCAAAAAAAAGAGUGUCUCCUGCAAGGAUCACGGCUGUGCCAAAAUAGAUCAUUUAUCUCUGAAUGAAUGCUUGAUUCCUUACCGAAUUUCUCUAAAACAAAAAAAGUUCCAAGUCUGUAGAUACAAUUUUCUGAGAUUCAGAAAACAUUCGCCUGUUUGGAAUUGAAGAGAUGCAAGAUCUGAGGGUGAGUUUAUGGGAUUUUUGCCAGCUUGGUGUGUGAUUUUUCUGCCCAGAACCUCUUACAAGGUUCAAGGCCUCCUUGAAGCCUUGUAAACUUUUUACAUCCCUGACAUCCUUUGGCAAGGACUUCCUUGAAUCUGCUAUUUAUGUGUGUAUCUCUUUUCUCUAUUUGACUCUUUAGCUUGACUUCUCAAAAAAAAAGAUUGUUUCAAUAAGCACAGACUGCCUCCAAAACAGCAGCAGUGUGUGAGGAACCAAAGGUUGGUCCCUUUGAGGCACAUUCAAUGUGUGGAGCCUGGGAAUUACUGUACAGUCACUUAAAAUGUGAAAGACAUGGAAGGUACCAAAACAACCAUACUAAAAGGCAGAAGCAAGUCUCUUGUGAUGACUUUCAGACCUGCUGAAAUUAUCUCACACAUAAACUGUCUCAGUCAGAAGGACCCAACUCAUUUAUUUUUAGCAUUGCACAGAGAUAUUUUGUUCAGCAGAUCGAAAAGUUUUACUGGAUUAUUGAAUAACAAAUGUGCCCCUUUGACCUAUUGCUCCCUUCAUUAAGGAUUCAUCUUAUAGCUAUUCGCUGCAUUUUAAUGUUGAAUUUGAUCUUGAUCUGCUGCUGAUGUAAGAGGUAGGAGCAGAGGAAUCGUUAGUCGGGUUCCUGGCUGACACCCAGAUUAACUCUUUCGGAGCACAGCAGAACAUAAGUAUUUGAGAAUUUGUGCAAGAAUAAACAUUUUCUGUUCCUCUGCUUAACUUUCAGGUUCGUAGGGUAUUUUUUGUUUCAUUUUUUUGCUUGUUUGUUUUGUUUUGUUUUGUUUAUUUGGGGCUUUUUAAAAUUUUGUUUUGUUUUGUUUUUUUUCCCCACAUAAUCUCUUAAUACUUAAUUUCUUUCCGUUUUUGCUUUUUCUUCCCCUGGUAAAUUCCACCACUCCACACGCUGCAGCAUGACUGAGGUGAGUAAACACUUCUGAAGUAGCUACCAAAUUGGCUUCAUUUUUCUUCUUGCACAUUAACCACUGUGAAGAAAGUGAAGUGGAAGAUUGAGUCUGUUCAGCUUGAAGCCAGUCUUACAGAAAAGGAAACCAAAAAGGAUUGAGUUAUUUACUAAAAAGCCAAAAGGGCACUAACACCCACUGUGAUCUCUGUGAGAGGAAAGCAAUGGGCUCUAGAAACACAUCAGGUUACCUGAAAGUGUGGGUGUGCCAGACCCACCUGUGCCUACUUCCACUUGUUCUCAAUCCUUUCUGAUCCUGCUGAGUGCAGAUGCUGACAGCCUGUAAGAAUAGAAGCAGAAGAAAAACAGAUAACCCAUGGAAUGAUGUUGCUAUGACCACGAUUAUGUUGCAGAUGGAGAGGACAAAGAGAGUGGAAAAUAUAUUUCAGUUCAUUUCUCAAAGUUUUAUUUGUGUUCUAUAUCAUAUCUGUCUCAAUAAGGACAGAAGAAUGUAUCCAACCAAAGACUUGCUUUGGCUCUAUAUGAAUGGAAAUAUUUUAUUUUUAUGACUGAGACAGAAAAUAAAAACAAAUUUUCCUUAUAAUAGUAAUAUUAAAGCAUUUGGUAUUUUUCUCUAUAAAGCAAA